GACAGAGGGGGCAAGCGUUGCUCGGAAUCACUGGGCGUAAAGGGCGCGUAGGCGGGAUGGCAAGUCGGUCGUGAAAUCCUUCGGCUCAACCGAAGAACGUCGGCCGAUACUGCCGUUCUUGAGGGAUGCAGAGGAGAUUGGAAUUCCCGGUGUAGCGGUGAAAUGUGUAGAGAUCGGGAGGAACACCGGUGCGAAGGCGGGUCUCUGGGCAUCUCCUGACGCUGAGGCGCGAAAGCGUGGGGAGCAAACGGGG
Molecule: ribosomal RNA, 253 nt
Filed under: uncultured bacterium
Lineage: Bacteria
Description: partial 16S ribosomal RNA
Rfam family: Bacterial small subunit ribosomal RNA
Source: RNAcentral